Molecule: ribosomal RNA, 433 nt
Filed under: uncultured bacterium
Lineage: Bacteria
Description: partial 16S ribosomal RNA
Rfam family: Bacterial small subunit ribosomal RNA
Source: RNAcentral
AACGAACGCUGGCAGCAUGCCUAACACAUGCAAGUCGAACGAGACCUUCGGGUCUAGUGGCGCACGGGUGCGUAACGCGUGGGGACCUGCCCUUAGGUUCGGAAUAACUCCCCGAAAGGGGUGCUAAUACCGGAUAAUGUCUUCGGACCAAAGAUUUAUCGCCUUUGGAUGGGCCCGCGUUGGAUUAGCUAGUUGGUAGGGUAAAAGCCUACCAAGGCGACGAUCCAUAGCUGGUCUGAGAGGAUGAUCAGCCACACUGGGACUGAGACACGGCCCAGACUCCUACGGGAGGCAGCAGUGGGGAAUAUUGGACAAUGGGCGAAAGCCUGAUCCAGCAAUGCCGCGUGAGUGAUGAAGGCCUUAGGGUUGUAAAGCUCUUUUACCCGGGAUGAUAAUGACAGUACCGGGAGAAUAAGCGCCGGCUAACUCCGUG